Molecule: ribosomal RNA, 497 nt
Filed under: uncultured bacterium
Lineage: Bacteria
Description: partial 16S ribosomal RNA
Rfam family: Bacterial small subunit ribosomal RNA
Source: RNAcentral
GAUGAACGCUGGCGGCGUGCCUAAUACAUGCAAGUCGAGCGAACAGACGAGUAGCUUGCUCCUCUGACGUUAGCGGCGGACGGGUGAGUAACACGUGGAUAACCUACCUAUAAGACUGGGAUAACUUCGGGAAACCGGAGCUAAUACCGGAUAAUAUAUUGAACCGCAUGGUUCAAUAGUGAAAGACGGUUUUGCUGUCACUUAUAGAUGGAUCCGCGCCGCAUUAGCUAGUUGGUAAGGUAACGGCUUACCAAGGCGACGAUGCGUAGCCGAUCUGAGAGGGUGAUCGGCCACACUGGAACUGAGACACGGUCCAGACUCCUACGGGAGGCAGCAGUAGGGAAUUUUCCGCAAUGGGCGAAAGCCUGACGGAGCAACGCCGCGUGAGUGAUGAAGGUCUUCGGAUCGUAAAACUCUGUUAUUAGGGAAGAACAAAUGUGUAAGUAAAUAUGCACGUCUUGACGGUACCUAAUCAGAAAGCCACGGCUAACUACGUG